CGCGCGCGCAGGGGCCCGGCAUCGCUUCUCGGCCUUUUGGCUAAGAUCAAGUGUAGUAUCUGUUCUUAUCAGUUUAAUAUCUGAUACGUCCUCUAUCCGAGGACAAUAUAUUAAAUGGAUUUUUGGAGCCGGGAGUUGGAAUAGGAGCUUGCUCCGUCCACUCCGCGCAUCGACCCGGUAUUGCAGUACCUCCGGGCACGGUGCACCCCCUCGGGUGAUACAACGCGGUUUCAAAGGCAGACUUCACCCAGCUCGUGGGCUUGCUUGCCCAGAAACGUCUGGGGCUUCUCCUUGCUCGUGUUUUGUGCUGUUUCCCCUGCGUGUGCAGACGAACAGCAGACCAACCACACCGGCCAGCCUAGACGUCUCGCUGUCCAGCCCCAAUGGCAGUGGUCCACCUCUGGGAGCCAACCAGCCUGCACCUCCCAACAGGGGACUCUGACAUACGUAGCUAUUGCCUCCAAGCCCCACAUGGGCGCCGGUUCUGCUCCCACCUCUUCCGUUCUAGCUCUCUGCUACGGCCCCUGCACCCGCAUGCAUGGGAGACCCAGGAGAACCUCCUGCCUCCUGCCUUUGCAUCCCACCAGAGAACCAGAGCAUGCAAGACCUCUCUCUACCUCUCUCUCUGACCCUGUCUUUCUUUCCUUUCUUUCCCCUCCCCUCCCCUCCUCUGAAAUUUUCAUUAAAAACAGCCAGGCCCCAGGAAGAUGGGCUAGGAAAGGCCAGCAGGGGGCUCUGAGCCCUUGACCACUCCCAGAAGGAAAUAGGGGUGGGAGAGGGCUCCCCGUACACUUCCUCACUGGGUUCAGGCCUCUCCAGGCUCAUGGGCCCCUAAGUUCAAAGUCUCUUUAGCUGAGGGGAGAAGGGGCAGGAAGAGACAGAAAGAGCCCCCCCCUUCCCCUGCAUUGUCUUUUCACAGACGCUAACACUGUGGAGACCAGGGAGCAGCAGGUGGAGGAGCCCUUCCACCCCGAAGGCAGCUUUGUCCCCCCAACACAAAAUAAAUAAAUACAUACAUAAAAAGAAAUAUUGUGUUGGCCGGUGCCAGGGCUCACUUGGCUAAUCCUCCACCUGUGGUGCUGGCACCUCAGGUUCUAGUCCAGGUUGGGGCGCCGGUUCUGUCCCGGCUGCUCCUCUUCCAGUCCAGCUCUCUGCUGUGGCCCGGGAAGGCAGUGGAGGAUGGCCCAGGUCCUUGGGCCCUGCACCCGCAUGGGAAACCAGGAGGAAGCACCUGGCUCCUGGCUUUGGAUCGGAGCACUGCGCGCCGGCCGUGGCGUCCAUUUGGGGGGUGAACCAACGGUAAAAGGAAGACUUUCUCUCUCUCUCUCACUGUCUAAUUCUGCCUGUCCCCCCCCCCAAAAAAAUUUUUUUUAAAAUAUUGUCUUAAUUUGGAGCUUUUUAACAGGUUCUUUCAAAUGUAAAUCAAGGAAAUUGGCAGAUGGAAAACAUCACAAGUAUAGAAAUGUGUGCUUGAUAAGAAAGGUUAAGAAGAUAAAAGGUUUUUUUGAAUAAAGAAAGGACAUGGUUUGUAAGAAUGACUUCAUCCUGAUGGCUGGUUUACUCUUGACUGGAAUGGAAAUGAUAGAACAUUUCAAGUAAGUUGAAGAGGGUGUGAUGAAGUCACAGAACGUUAUAAAAAAUAAAUUUUUAAUCCAAAUCUAUUCUAUUUUUUUUGUUAACAUAGAAUUAUAAUCUGAUAAUCCUCUAUUAAGGAAAUAGAGGAUUUUUGCAAUACAUAUGUUAGGAAACUUUUUUUUAAAGAUUUUAUUUAUUUAUUUGACAGGUAGAGUUACAGACAGUGAGAGAGAGAGAAAGAGAGAGAGAGAGAGAGAGGGAGAAAGAGACAGAGGUAUUCCAUCUACUGGUUCACUCCUCAAAUGGCCGCAAUGGCCGGAGCUGCAUCGAUCCGAAGCCCAAGAGCCGGGAGCUUCUUCCCAGUCUCCAACGCUGGUGCAGGGGCCCAAGGACUUGGGCCAUCUCCCACUGCUUUCCCAGGCCAUAGCUGAGAGCUGGAUUGGAAGAGGAGCAACCGGGACUCGAACCACCGCCCAUUUGGAAUGCUGGCAUCACAGGUGGAGGAUUAAGCUAGUGCGCCAUGGCACCAGCCCCUAGCAAACAGUUUUUAAUUGUCUCAGAAAUCUGUUUAAAACUUGUAGCAUCUCCUUUUGAUCGUUUUAAUUGGUGACUCUGUUCAGUGUUUUAGCAAGCUCCAGUAAGCUCGUCUCUGUCCCUAGUCCUGACUCUGUUAACACUGUUCCAAAGCAUGGGAUUCGAUUCAAUGCCCCAGCUCUUAAAUUUAAGGUUUUAUUUCUGAGUUUUGGAACAAAACAAAAAAAGUUUUUUGUGGUAACCAGGGGGAAGCGUGGACGACAACAAGUCAGCAGCGACAGGCGCCCAAGGGCAACACCACCACAGAGUCCGGAACAUCUCUCUUUCCCAAUGCUCGGCAUAAGAGGUGGAGGUGGGGCCGACAUUUGGUCAGCUUGAGCAGCCUUUGUCUACACCAGGGUGCCCGGGUUCCAGGCCCUGGGGUGCAGCAGCAUGUGCCAUCAAGGGGGGGCACGUGACAUCAAAAAGCAGGCCAUAGGGUUUUUGUCUUUAGCUGUUGAGAGUUAGUGUUGGGCUUUAGAAAACGCCCAAGUGUUAGGGCUUCUCCCUCACCUCCCAUCUGCGCCACCAUGGCUGGAGGUCCAGGCUCCUUGCUGUAACUUGACCAAACUAGCAAACCAGGAGGUUGAACCUCUCUUGCUGUGUGCUUCAGAUAAUCUUAUUAAAUAAUUUCUGUUCCCCAUAUUGGUGCGUCUGGGUGCAAUACCCGACUCAAGCUUCCUUCCCCCUUCCCUAAGCAGGUCACCUGUGGUGGCUGAAGUCCUUGGGCCCCUGUCGUCCUUGGGAAAGACCUGGAUCACCUUCUCAGCUCCCACCACGCACAUGGGAGGUCAGAAGAAGCUCCUGGCCCAGGCCUGGUCCUAGUGGCCAUUUUGGGUGUGAACCGGGGAAACCAGGGAAUGGAGGAUAUUUUUCGCUCGCUCUAAAUUUCAGCAACAUCUGGCGCCAACAUGGCUGAGAGACAGCGUGACGACUUGGCGAGGUUCCCCCCUUGAUUUCGGCAAGUAGGCCCCUCAGCGUUUUGUUUGCUGUUCUGUUCUGUGAGGGUGAGCACAGAACCCCCUCCUACGCCCCUUUCCUUGUCCUUGUCCUCGGUCGAAGUGACCCCAGGUUAAGCACACACCCACCGCCCAGAAGCAUAACGCCGCUUCUCGGCUCCUCCUUUUACUUUUGGUUCGCCGGGGGAAUUCGCAGAAGGGACCGAUCAUCCCGGAAUUCGGAACCAGGCCAUCUUCCCUCACUCGAGAGAGGUGACGCUCCGGAGACACCGUGUGGGCACACGGCCUUGACCUAACGGAACCAGGAAGUCCCCCACUAAGCGCAGGACAUACGUACGAUCUGAUACACCACUGUCUGUUCGCCUAAGAGAAUGCGGGACAGCCCAUUUGGGUACCAGCCAGAAACAUGAAGCCUGCAACUGACAGUCAGCCAGGACCAGCUGAACAAGACUGAGAGACCGCCUUGUUCACGGGUGCUCCUGCUACUGAUGGUCAAGCUGCUGGCCUAUCAUCCUGCCCUGAGGAACUGCCCAUAGCCACAUCCGCUACUGCUUCAUACCCCACUUAGCUCUGGUCAGCCACUCGAACAGCCAACAGCCUGCGUGCAGUCAUGCCAUUCCUGAUUACCAUUGUUCCUCACUCCUACCCCCAUCUGAGCAAGCACUCCUGUGGUCUCCCGUUUUGAGGGCUGGUUAGUCAACGUCAGGUAAGAUCCCCUGAGGGACAACCGAAGACAGGCACAAGCCACAUGAGACCACAUGGAAACGGGGUCAACAAUGGUAUGGCCAAGGAUCAUGCCUCCUGUUGCUCAAAAAUAAAUGAAAAGGGGGACGUGUUAUGGAAUGAGAAGGCCGUGCCAAGAUGGCGCUGGCGAGCGAGCGAGCGUCAGUUACUCAGGAAUGGCUUCAGAACCCACCUGGCAAAGGAGCCCGCCUGGCAACAGGCAGUGAUUGGUUAAGGCAUAAACCGCCCCUUGACCCGACUGGCUGCCUCGGCUAUAUAAGCUGCUGUACCAACUGAAAUAAACUGGCCCAGCCCCGGUGGUUGUGCCUCCUGGGAGCGAAGCGGUGGAUGGAGGCGCUCGCUCUCGCUCUCGCUGUCUCGCUCUCUCUGUUUCUCUUUAGUCUCGCUCUCGCCCCCUUCCCGUAAUUCUCUCAAACGCACGGAAAUCUUUAAAAGUAAAGUAAAAACGCCUUAUUUCCGGAGGAAGAGUGGGCGGGUGUAAGGGCGGGGUCGGUCCCCCGGGCGGGGGCAGGGGUGGGGCUUCCUGAGCC
Molecule: long non-coding RNA, 4381 nt
Organism: Oryctolagus cuniculus (rabbit)
Lineage: Eukaryota; Metazoa; Chordata; Mammalia; Lagomorpha; Leporidae
Source: RefSeq, a predicted model, not a curated record